UAUCGGGGUGUUCUAUGAUAUCGUCGGA
RNAcentral lists this small RNA (28 nucleotides) under Bombyx mori (domestic silkworm). Its description in RNAcentral is "ovarian small RNA-23682". Lineage: Eukaryota; Metazoa; Arthropoda; Insecta; Lepidoptera; Bombycidae. The record is from RNAcentral.